AUUCGGCUGACGAGUUCAAAACAGGACGAAACGAUCAUCAUAAAU
RNAcentral lists this non-coding RNA (45 nucleotides) under Schistosoma margrebowiei. Lineage: Eukaryota; Metazoa; Platyhelminthes; Trematoda; Strigeidida; Schistosomatidae. The record is from RNAcentral.